This 581-nucleotide long non-coding RNA is filed under the name Trifolium pratense (red clover). RNAcentral describes it as "long non-coding RNA (TPRA_LNC009027)". The record is from RNAcentral. Lineage: Eukaryota; Viridiplantae; Streptophyta; Magnoliopsida; Fabales; Fabaceae.
AAACAGAUAAAAAAUUUCAGGUCUAAAUGGCUUAUAAUUUGGUAUGUCACCGAAAGAAAAGGGACUUUUUUUUUAGGCUCAAAAUGGUUUAGCAACGGAUAAAUAAUAAACAGGGUAGCUUGAAAAGGCUCAGAGUACCAAACAAAUAUGCCUCUAUGUGUGUAAAUGCAAAACCAAUCAACAGUAGAGAAUAAUUGCAAGUUCUAGAAAAUAUACAAAGCAUGGAUUCACUCAUAAGAUGUGAAAGAAAAAGUAUACCAUGGAAUUUAUUUGGCUCAAUAUGCUCACCAGCUGAGGUAUCUGAAGAUUGAACUAGUACACCGUGCAAAACUCCAUCUUUCCAAUUCAUCUCUUUGUCUCUUGACCAUUGCACUUCAUGAGCAAUCACACUGCAAUUAUUCUUGUAUGUGCAAGUCUAAGAGAUUUUCAUCAUGCAAAUUCAGUUAUUAACACACUGACAAUUCUGAAAAGACAUAAAAACAUUAAACUUGAUAAUAAACAAGACAACAGAAAGACGAAACACAAGGGAUUGUCAGCAAAUGACAUCAUUGAUAGUAUCUUUUUUGUUCUUUUUUCUUUUU